RNAcentral lists this non-coding RNA (148 nucleotides) under Gorilla gorilla gorilla (western lowland gorilla). The record is from Rfam by way of RNAcentral. Lineage: Eukaryota; Metazoa; Chordata; Mammalia; Primates; Hominidae.
GCUGGGCGUGGUGCCGCAUGCCUGUAAUCCCAGCUACUUGGGAGGCUGAGACAGGAGAAUCACUUGAACCCGGGAGGCAGAGGCUGCAGUGAGCUGAGACUGUGCCACUGCACUCCAGCCUGGGUAACAGAGCGAGACUCCAUCUCAA